GAUGGGAGUGAGACCCUGUCUAAAAAAAAAAAAAAAAUCAGAUGUUAUAAUAAUUUUAGUCAUAAUUAUUUCUGGAAAUGGAAAACAUCAAAUACAGUACCAACCCAUGAAUUCUGAUGUCUCACUUUUAGAAUUUCUCUAUUCUUUGCUUUCAAUUUGCACAAAAACCAGAAUAAAAUUUAUCUUUGUAUGUCUGUGACGAAAAGAUUAUUUGCUGGAGCAACUGGACAGGACAAACCAUUUAAGAGAAUGUGCUUUUUAGCAUUUAAGGACUUAUAUGUUAAUGAAGUAAUUCACUGUUAAAAGUUUGCCCAACUUCCUGAGGUUUUGAAUGAUGAUAGCUUAAAUGGAGAUCAAAAGUAAGAUAUGGAACCAAGAGAAAUGAAGGAGGUGAAAUCAGCAGGCUGUGGUGAUUGGCUAGAAGUUGGAGUAAGGAAGAGGGUAGUGUACAGAUAUUGUAUGGUGCUCAUCGUCUCUUGGCAGGAAAGGUGCUCAUCCUUUAUAAAACCAAAGGAUUGUUGUGGAGAACAGCUGCUAGGUCUCCACACAAAAUCCAACCGUUAUUAAUCUCAGCCAUUCUGAUCAUUCCAUGGGAAGCCCCUGCCCACGACUUGUUUAGGAAUGGGCAUGUGACACAAUCCUGGCAAAAGACUAUUAAGUAGAAACUUUCCUUUCUGUGUGUGUUGCCUGGAACCAGGCAGCCAUCUUGGGACUACAGUGGAGUUCCAUGAAGAGAUCAGGAAGAGAUCAAGCCAAGGGCUGAGGGCGGUCAAGUGGGAAGACAGAGGGACUUGGGUCCUUAGAUUGUGUGGUUGAACCACCACAUUUGCCAAUCCUGAAACCCCCACAUGUGGGGACUUGUUUUUAUAGGAAGUGGGACAUUUUCUAGUGGUUUAAGUCAUUUUGAGUUGGGUUUUCUGUUACUUGCAGCUAAAUGCACUCUGAGACAGGGACAUUCUAGAAGAAGCUCCAGUUUUCUGGCUUUAUGAGUGGAUCCAUUUUCUAUAACAGCACAUUCAGAAGGAGAAGGCAACAGGCCUUGGGAAGUGGGGAGAAAGGAUGACCUUGGUUCAGGACAUGCUUAGCAGUGCUGGAGGGACACCAGGGCCCAUGGACAAACCACACAUGCCAGUGUCCCCACUGUUAGGGAGGGGUCAUAUUGAUGGACUCUGACCAAUAGCAUGUGAUGAAUUCUCUUCCUACACCUGUCAGCUGGGAGCUGAGAAUCCAGGGGGAAGCUUCUAAGGCUCCAGGAGGAUGAGCUUUUAGAUGGAAGGAACCUGAGUCCCUGAGUGACUUGGUGGAGAACCUCCACCCCCUAAUCAGCUACACUGGACGUGACAUGAUUGAAAAAUAAACAUUGGGCAUGUUGCUUUUA
Homo sapiens (human) is the source of this 1378-nucleotide long non-coding RNA. RefSeq lists it as uncharacterized. The record is from RefSeq and is a predicted model, not a curated record. The transcript is spliced from 2 exons. Lineage: Eukaryota; Metazoa; Chordata; Mammalia; Primates; Hominidae.